This 229-nucleotide long non-coding RNA is filed under the name Homo sapiens (human). RNAcentral's name for it is "HSALNT0367635". The record is from RNAcentral. Lineage: Eukaryota; Metazoa; Chordata; Mammalia; Primates; Hominidae.
ACCAGCACACACGUUGGAGGUUACAAAACCAGAUUCUCCCAUUUUUAUUGAAUGGAGCGAGAGCCCAUUUCACGAGGGGUUCUGUAGAGAGCCUGAUUCUCCAGCAUGGGUGGCUACAGGCUAGAAAUGAAUAUGGCUUCUUGAGCGAAGGGAAUUUCUUAGGCCGCCACUUGUGUGGGACUACCUCUCAAACCCUCCCUUGAGGCCACAAAAUAAUUUCCACCCCACC